RNAcentral lists this ribosomal RNA (252 nucleotides) under uncultured bacterium. Its description in RNAcentral is "partial 16S ribosomal RNA". It matches the Rfam family "Bacterial small subunit ribosomal RNA", at positions 524 to 776 of the family's 1533-position model. The record is from RNAcentral.
UACGGAGGAUGCGAGCGUUAUCCGGAUUUAUUGGGUUUAAAGGGUGCGUAGGCGGUCCGUUAAGUCAGCGGUAAAAUUGCGGGGCUCAACCCCGUCGAGCCGUUGAAACUGGCAGACUUGAGUUGGCGAGAAGUACGCGGAAUGCGCGGUGUAGCGGUGAAAUGCAUAGAUAUCGCGCAGAACUCCGAUUGCGAAGGCAGCAUACCGGCGCCAGACUGACGCUGAGGCACGAAAGCGUGGGGAUCGAACAGG